ACUGUAUCUGAGCUGGACAGUCCUCUCCUUCACCCCUAACCCCCUUCUACCCCCAUACUGUAUCUGAGCUGGACAGUCCUCUCCUUCUCCCCUAACCCCCAAUACCCCCAUACUGUAUCUGAGCUGGACAGUCCUCUCCUUCUCCCCUAACCCCCACUACCCCCAUACUGUAUCUGAGCUGGACAGUCCUCUCCUUCUCCCCUAACCCCCACUACCCCCAUACUGUAUCUGAGCUGGACAGUCCUCUCCUUCUCUCUUAACCCCCACUACCCCCAUACUGUAUCUGAGCUGGACAGUCCUCUCCUUCUCCCCUAACCCCCACUACCCCCAUACUGUAUCUGAGCUGGACAGCUUCCAGAGAUCUGGCUGAUGGACGGAGAGUACUCUGCAUACAUACAGACUGACGAACGGACAGAGACAGAAAUACAGAGACGGACGGACAGUAAGACAUCCACACCCAGCUGUGACACAACUCAGCCACAACUCUGUGACUGUCUAGUCCACAACACAACUCUGGAGAGACUGUCUAGUCCACAACACAGUGAGAAGCAGCAUCUCAACCUUCUUAGCUGUCUGGAACGACUCCUGCUUCCCGCCAUCUCAUUAAAAGUGUCUUUGGAAAAUGUGUGAACAUCAUAUACUCCUGCUUCCUGCUUCCUGCUUCCUGGCCUUUUCUUAUUCAUUUAUUCUGAUGUCUUUUACAGUUUUAUAGUUUUAAGAUGUUGUUUUUAAUGAUGAGCCUGGGAAAACCAAAAAUGAUGUAUCGGAAGUUUGGGGAAGAACUACUGAUUUGGAAGGUUAAAUUAGGUUAGGUUAAAUUAGGUUAGGUUAAAUUAGGUUAGGUUAAAUUAGGUUAGGUUAAAUUAGGUUAAGUUCGGUUAAAUUAGAUUAGGUUAAAUUAGGUUAAAUUAGGUUAAGUUAGGCUAGGUUAAGUUAGGUUAGGUUGUUAGGCUAAGUUAGGCUAGGGCAACAUUCCAAAUGGCACUUAAUCCCUACAUAGUGCACUAGUUUUGACCAGAGCUCUGUGGCCACUGGUCAAAAUGAGUGUACUAUAUAGGGAAUAGGGUGCCAUUUGGGACACCACCUAGGUUAUACAAGCUAGAGUCCCAGUUAGGACUGUGUGGUGGUGAUGGGGGAUGGGCUGGAGCCUGGGCUGGGUACCUUGUAUACUAUAGCAUACUGCUGCUUGGCUGUGCCAGCAUGUCUAGAAGUUAAACCUUUCAUUGUCGAAUCAAGUGCCUUCAGUUGUAUUGUUUUGAGAGAAUAAGAGGGGAAAACAAAGGAACGCCAAGUUUUCUGUAUUGUAGUGUAUUGUAGUGUAUUGUAGUGUAUGUAUUGUAGUGUAUUGUGUAUCGUGACUUCAAGCAUUAAUGAUGUAUCGUAGAAAUGGUAUCAUUGACGAACAAACCACACUUCCCUCUACUUCCCCGAUGUUUCAUAAUCAAAAGUGUACUUCUAUUGUUAAAGGUUUUAUAAAAACGUGUUAUCACGAUGUUCUUUUCAAUCCUAGCCUCUUUAUUUUCCCUGUCUCAUUCAAGCCUGAUUCGCGGUUGCUUUGUUCCUGAUCUUUUACUAGUCUUCUGUGUUUCUUAGGUUAUUACAGGAUGGAUAAUAGAUCAAACAGAUUCUUGUUUUUUUUUACUUUAGGUUUUUUGUUGUUGUUGGAUUGAUAUGUUUGUUUUUUAAAUCACUAAAUGACGUGGACAUCUUUUACAGAGAAACAGACCGAUUCCAUUACGAGUUGUCUCUCACCAGUUAGGGUUUUUAACUGGACAAGUUUGGUAAUGAUUUAAUGUAGUUGUAACCUUUUCCAUCACACGCUCUGCUUUCAUUCUUUCACUAUUACGUUAAGAUAUUCCUAAUCAAUACCCCCCCCCCCCCCCCCCCCCCCCCCAACAAAUAAAUUCUAACUUGAAAGAAGAACAAAAGGCACUUUGGAUCAAUAAGGGCUUGUUUGAUAUACCUGCAUCCUGAAUGGCACCCUAUUCCCUACACAGUGCACUACUAUAUAAUGGGAAUAGGGUGCAUUUUAGGAGCCAGCCAUUGUCUCCCUGUCUGAAAGGCAGUCUACAGAUAUCCUUUACUGCCCUGUUGUAGACCUGCUGUGCUGCUGAAACAAGAUGGUGGUUAGGACCUGUUUUAUCUGGUGAGAAGAGCAUGUCAUGACGGUUAGAGAGGUAAAGGUUAGAGGUCACAGCCGGGGUUUGAUUUGAAUCAAUGGUAAAUGUGAGUUACAGUAUGUUGGCUUUAGUUGGUGUACAGGUAGAAUUUCUCCUUAUGAAAAAACAACCAGCUAUGGUUUUAUAGUCAGGAAUUGUUGUGAUGUGACAGAUUCCAAAGAGUUAUUUUUUUUAUUUUUUUUCUAGUGUUUCUUCUUUCAACUGAUACUGAAUCUAAUUUCACGAGCGGAAAAAAAACCCUAAAUGAUUUGUUAUUAUCAAUCUCUGUCCAUCUGUCUACCUAUAUAUACACAUGUACGUAUGUAUAAGCUAAUGAGAAUAUGUCAAUUAGGUUAGGGUUUCAAGGUAACCGAGGUGUCUAGACGGUCAUUGUGAUGAACAAAACUGAGGAUUCUAAAGGAUUCUAGAAGUUCUAGAAUAGAACAGACAAGUACGUGAUUCUUCCGGAAUGAUUUCUGUCACGUGUUUGACAUUCUGACAACACAACAACAACGUUGGUGAUCCACUACAGUGACUUAUCUUGUUAAAGUUUGGUGGUUGAAUAAAUGAUGUAUUUGUCACAUAAGUGUGAUUUUUUUUUUUUAAUGCUUAGCUAGUUUUGUUAGACUAUUAGUUAACUGUUGACUGUUUGUGUAGUACUAAUCACUCACGUUUUAAAGGAUUGGUAUUUAGGUAUUGUCUAAAUGCACACGUCAAAAAAUGAAUUUAUAUGUUCAGUAACGAUGAUCUCUAAAUCUUUUCAGAGAUAAUAUGUACAUGUAUUGUAGAAACAAAUUAUCUUCCAUAUGUAUCCCUUUCUGUAAAACUUUAGAAUUGGCCUGGAAUAAUGUAUAUACUGUAGUAAUAAAGUAUAUACUGUAGUAAUAAAGUAUAUACUGUAGUAAUAAAGUAUAUACUGUAGUAAUAAAGUAUAUACUGUAGUAAUAAAG
Long non-coding RNA from Oncorhynchus mykiss (rainbow trout), 3109 nucleotides. The record is from Ensembl. Lineage: Eukaryota; Metazoa; Chordata; Actinopteri; Salmoniformes; Salmonidae.